GACGUAGGGCGCGAGCGUUGUCCGGAUUUAUUGGGCGUAAAGAGCUCGUAGGCGGCUUGUCGCGUCGAAUGUGAAAUUUUAGGGCUCAACCCUGACAUUGCAUUCGAUACGGGCGGGCUGGAGUUCGGUAGGGGAGACUGGAAUUCCUGGUGUAGCGGUGAAAUGCGCAGAUAUCAGGAGGAACACCGGUGGCGAAGGCGGGUCUCUGGGCCGAUACUGACGCUGAGGAGCGAAAGCGUGGGGAGCGAACAGG
This 253-nucleotide ribosomal RNA is filed under the name uncultured bacterium. RNAcentral's name for it is "partial 16S ribosomal RNA". It matches the Rfam family "Bacterial small subunit ribosomal RNA", at positions 524 to 776 of the family's 1533-position model. The record is from RNAcentral.